Molecule: transfer RNA, 72 nt
Filed under: Ictidomys tridecemlineatus (thirteen-lined ground squirrel)
Lineage: Eukaryota; Metazoa; Chordata; Mammalia; Rodentia; Sciuridae
Description: Spermophilus tridecemlineatus (thirteen-lined ground squirrel) tRNA
Rfam family: tRNA
About the family: Transfer RNA (tRNA) molecules are approximately 80 nucleotides in length.
Source: Rfam by way of RNAcentral
GGGGUUGUAGCUCAGCUGUAGAGCUCUUGCCUCGUAUGUGAGAGGCCCUGGGUUCGAUCCUCAGCAUCACAU